This 1692-nucleotide long non-coding RNA is filed under the name Homo sapiens (human). RNAcentral describes it as "HSALNT0068520". Lineage: Eukaryota; Metazoa; Chordata; Mammalia; Primates; Hominidae. The record is from RNAcentral.
UGCAUAAUAUAAAAUUUAUCAUUUUGACAAUUUUUACAAUUUGGUGUUAAAUACAUUCACAUUGUUGUACAACCAUCACCACCAUCUACCUCUAGAACUUUCUCAUCUUCCCAAGCUGAAACUCUGUCCCCAUUAACCACUAACUCCCCACUCCUCGCUCCCUCCAGACCCUGGCAAGCACCCUUCUAUUUUCUGUCCUUUAGAGGCCCAGUUUGAUUUAAAGGUUUAAACUCAAACCAGACAGUUGAACUCUCUGAGCUCACAGACCGGCUCUUUCCCUUCCCAGCUGUGUGACUUUAUCUCAUUUCUUCAUCUAUAAAAUGGAGGCCACACUUUUACCUCUCACAUGGGGCUGAGAGAGGAUUAAAUGGUCAAUAUUUCCAAAGGCCCGAGGCUACUGCUGGUGUAAGAUAAAGGAAGUGGAUUUGGACUGAGGGUGCCUGGAGGACUCUGAGAAAGGGCUCUGACAAAUGAACUUCCCCAAAGCAAACCCUCUUUCCCGUCUGUGUUAAAGUUGGUGAAGAUAAAGAUGGUUUUCUAGAUAGUGGCUCUGGGGACACACUGAAGACUCAAAGAUUAAAAUGUCACCAUGUUUCAGCCUGUUUCAGCUUCUACUCAGCUAUGACACUGCUUUUAUUUACCACUGCACUGUUUUCUUCAUUGGGCUGUGAGGGUGGGCAUGGGGACCUGUUAUUCAUUUCUGUUCCUGCUGGUGCCUGGCAUGUAAUGGGCACAUGUUUUUUGGGUGAAUGAAUGGAUAACUGAAGGGACGGAAGGGGGAGGGAGUGUGUGUUACCUCUCUUUGCUCCCUCUAAGACCUCCCCACCCGUCCAUCCUUGCUUUGCCAGACCCUUGGCUAAGAAAAUGCCAGCCAACACUGUGUUCUCAAGUGACUCUCAGUUCUUAGAAACAAAAUGAUGGAAUUUCAGUAUUGGAAAAAUGCUUAGACAUGACCUCAUCCCUACCCAAGCUGGUUCAUGAAUCAUCCCCAUAAAAUUCCUGGCAUGCCAAUUAAAACCAUUCAGCUGUUCAUUCAUUCUUUCAUUUUGCUGAACAUUUGUUAGGUACCUAUAUCGUUCUGGAGGCAAGGAAGGAUGACGAUGACAAUGAUGACCUUGGCCUCAACGAGUCUGCAUUUGUUUAGAUAUGGAUUAAGCUGAUGAACCAAAGGAAUCCCCAAAUUCAAAACAUAGUCAUGCAUUGCUUAAUGACGGGGAUACAUUCUGAGAAACGUGUGUUGGGCAAUUUCAGCAUUGUGCAAACAUUGCUGCACAAAUCAUAGAGAAUACUUACACAGCCCUAGGUGGUGAAGCCUACUAUAUGCCUAGGCUGCAUGGUCUAGCCUACUGCUACUAGGCUACAAACCUGUGCAGCAUGCUACUGUACUGAACACCAUAGGCAACUGUAACACAAUGCAUUUGUUAACACAAAGUAUUCGUGUAUCUAAAUCUAUCUAAAUACAGAAAAGGGACUAUAAAAAUAAGGUAUAAAAUAAACAAUAAUAAACUUGGAUAGGGUACUUACAAUGAAUGGAGCUUGCAGGACUGGAGAGUUGCUCUGGAUGAGUGAGUAGCUGGUGAGUGAAUGGGAAGGCCUAGGACAUGACUGUAUUAUACUUUAGAUUUCAGAAACUCUGUACACUUUGGCUACACUCAAUUUAUAAAAACAUAUUUUAUUUCUUUAAUAAUAAAU